Brassica napus (rape) is the source of this 6864-nucleotide long non-coding RNA. RefSeq lists it as uncharacterized. The record is from RefSeq and is a predicted model, not a curated record. The transcript has 4 exons. NCBI's taxonomy places the organism in Eukaryota, Viridiplantae, Streptophyta, Magnoliopsida, Brassicales, Brassicaceae.
CGAAAGAUAUCACGGCAACGUUGAUUAAUUAUCAUCAAGAGUCAAGAAGGAAGACAAAGGUUCGUGAUCUCCAAUGUCUCCAACGAGAAAGAAGAAGAUACGGGAGGAGAUGAAGUCAGUUGGGCCACAAGGUGGAGAUUGUUGAAGAUGGGCCCAACUAACUCUAAUCCAAUUGUCUCUCUACAGCCCAGUCCGUAUUGAAGUCCAUUGUUUGCAUCUCUUGAUCCUGCAUAUGUCGGCUAUUAAAUUUACAUAAUAUGAAAAGGAAAGAUUGACCAAAUCCAUAUAGUAAAAGGAAGAUAGUGGAAUAUAUAUAAAGAAGAGACGUCACAGCUUUAUGAAAUCAUCCGAAAGAAAAGCAUAGAGACCUAGAGCUAGAAAGUAAGAGAGAUCAAGAAAGUUACUAAUUCAUAAGUUCGAGUCUUGUGUUUUAGUUUUAACCAAGCUGUGAUUUCUAAUUAGUUCUUGUAAGGAUAUUCAUUGAGAGUGAAUAAAGGGAAUACAAGUUUUGGGUAUUGAUUUAAUCUCAAGUUUUAAGCACAAAGUAAGGUUUAAAACCUAACAGAAGGUUUUUCUUAACAAAGAAAAAGGGUAUUACUAACUCCCUUUCAAGUUAACUUACAUGUCACACUCAAAGAAAGAAUCUAGCCUGACAAAUUCAAAGAUCUAUCCACAAUCCAAGAAUCUCUCAUGACCCAUAGCCCUUAUAUUUUGUGUUCACAUACAUUGAACCCCAAAACCUUAUGCUUUGAUCUUUCUUUUGAGGUGGUACCUAACAAAAUGCAUGCCUCUCUCUAUUUAUAUUCAGUAGAUUUCGUGGUUUACCCUAGCCAUAUUUCCAACGAAAAAAUAUUCCCAAGUUUUUCUUGUAGAAUAUUUUCAAAUCUUGUUCAAACCUUUUUGGAAGUCAUCCCUUAAUGAAUUUUUUUCAUCAAUGUAAAUCUUUGGUUGUUUGGCUUCAAAGUAACCUCUAGUUUAACUUUCGGCCAACUCAAAUUCUAAUUUUCAAGUCAGCUACAUAGCUUCAGUUCAUGUAACACUUAUUAUACUACUUCAUAUAGUACUUGGGGAUUGGUACAUCUAUUUUAUUAAAACAGAAACAUUACAGCUUCUUCUAGGUGGAUUUUUAAGUUGGACAUCACAUUAUUAUUCAUAGCCUAACCUUACAUUUAAAUAUUUCCUUAAUCGGUUCAAUAUCAACCAUCGGUUCAAUAAAGUCCAUUUAACUUCAUCAUAUAACUCUAUUUAAAUACACCAUAAGAUCUAUCUUAUUAUACAUUAUACAACUAUUAUUUUACAUCUAUUAUUUCGUCACAUUAUGCAUCUAUUAUUAUACAUAUAUAUUAUUGUACAUAUAUUAAAAAAACAUCUAUUAAAAAACCCUCGCUUUAAUGUGAAACGUUAACAUACAUAUACUCACAUUGUCAUACUUAUAUUAUAUCAUAGUUACAAUAUAUAAAACAUGCACUCUUUACACUGGUCCAUAUCAGAUUGCAGGAUUAGCAACAUUGAGUAGUCAUUAUAUUUUAGAAAACUUCAUAAGUUACAAAACUCAUAUGGUCGUAUAUCUAAAGCAAGAGCAUGUCAAUAUAUUUUAAAAACUAUAACAACAUAGUUUAUUUUUGUUACUUAAAUGAUAUGGUCAUAUAUCCAAAUCAUUUGUCCAUGGUAUAAUUUAAAGAAACAAGAAAUUUAAAUCUCCGGAAACAAGAAACAAGAAAGUUGCCAGUAGUUUCACCUAGAUUUGUCCAUGGUAUAAUUCUUAUUUUCAAUAACAGAAACAUCAAUUUAAAUAUCCAGAUUUGAUUUUAACCGUAUAUUCUUAUUUCAAUAACAGAAACAUCAGUUUAUACUUAAAAAAAACGUUUAUAACAAAACUCCUUCCCAAAGUUGUGCAUUAUAUGCCUAAAAUCUCGGAUACAAUCAAAUAUGGAGUUUUAAAAUUCUCUGUCAAAAUCGAUUUGCCAGAUUUGAAAAUCAUUAAUAUGGAAAACCCCUUUCUCCAAGUUUAUUCUACUAUACCUAAAAUCUCGGUUUCAAUAAAAUCUAGAGAUUUUGUAUUUAUUAUACCUAACUUAAUAGGUUAGGGAAUAUUCAUUACCUCCCACUAAAAUGUCUCCAUAAAUACUUCUCUUCGUAUUCAUCAUUCAACAUACACAAAAGCUCCCAAAAAACACAAUGUCUAAACCAAGCACUUUAGUUCUAAUCGAUGGUGUGAAACCUGUCAGGCACAAUUGACAAAUUUGAGUUAAAGUGCUUCAUUCUUGGAAACAAACCACACCUUUUGCAGGCGACACAUUAGAGUUCAUCCUUGCUGAUGAAACUGUACGUAUUGUUUAUAGUUUGUUUUUAUAACUCUUUUUCUAUUCGUGCUCUAACGUGUAUUUUUUCCUGCUUUCUAGGGUGUGAAGAUUGCAGCAUCGUGCAAAAGGAAUCAGAUUUCUCGUCUUCAACGCAAAUUACCAGUUGGAGAGUGGAAAACUAUUGACACGUUUGCAGUUUUGGGUAUUUCUGGACAGAAUUGCCCAACAACCCAUCGAUACAAGUUGUCUUUUUCAGGCGAAACCAUGAUAACAAAAUGUCAAGUUCUAUCUGAUGAUCAGUAUCUUUCUCUUGCAAGUUACGAUGAUCUAAGGAAAAUCGAGGAGAAGAAGAAUUUUUUCCUUAAAGAUGUUAUUGGACAAGUUGUAGAUCUAGCUGCAAUUCAAACUGUUCAAGCUAGGGGGAAAGACGAGAAGAGAGUUCAGUUUCGUUUACGCGAUGCCAGGUAAAUUAGAAUCAUCAUAUAUAGUUGUUAAUGUUAUAUUCUUUGCUGUAGUUUCAUAUUAACUACAGCAAUUUUAAUUUGACUUUGACAUUGUUUGUGUUUCAAUCUGUAAACAUCAAGUGGAGAUGAAGUUGCGUGUUGCUUGUGGGGGAGGUUUGCGGAACAACUCGAACAAGUGUUUCAAGAUAUAAACAAUGAAAUUGUUAUUUGCUUGAUAAGGUUUGCUAAGAUCACUUUUUUAAGAGGUAUACAUUGUAUGAUAUCGAAUUAAUCAACUAUAUGGAAAUCCUUGAGUUGUUUUACUUAAUUACACAAUUGCAUUCAUCUUUAGGUGAAGUACAAGUCAGCAAUGCUUUUGAUGCUUCAAUCAUGGAUAUAAACCCAAAAUUGGAGGAAGUAAUUGAAUUGAAAGAAAAGUAAGUUCAUACUAUUAUUUUAUAAUGCUAAAGCCUCUAUUAUAUUUGUACUUAUAUAAGUGUAAUCAUAUAUGUUUUUCAUCCAUGUUAGGAUUUUGGCGAAUGAUCUUCCUCUGGCUCUUAUUGAGAAAACAGAAGAAAAGCAAAUUACCAAGAAACAAAAACAAGAUUGGGAUGAGAUUCCUGUUCGAGCAAUUUCUGAGAUAUUGGAUGCUACUGAGGUAAAUUGCAAAUAAUUCCGAGUCUUGGAUUGUUUUAAAUAUAUUAUAUCUCUAAUAUUAUUAUAUGUGUGUAUAAUUUGUCAGGUUGAGAGUUGCAAAAUCAUUUAUUCUAUUGAGCCAAUAGACACAGAUUGGGGUUGGUUCUACUUUGGUUGUAACCGAAACCGACACAACCGACGUGUUACUAAGCAAAACUGGUUCUGUAAUGACAAAUCCCAGCCAGAAACCACUUUUCUAUUGUGACAUAUGUCGUGGGAAUACACCUGAUGUCUCUCCAAAGUAAGUGACCGAGCAUUUUGUGUUGUUUGUCUUUAGAUUAUUUACAGCAGUAAGUAUUUUGAAUACUAAAAAUGUAUUUUGGACUUUCAGGUACAAACUUCAUUUGUUUGUUAAAUAUGAUAGCGAUUCAUGCACAAUAAUGAUGCUUGACUCUGUUGCUCAAUCUAUUAUUCGUAAUGCUGCAACUGAACUUUGGGAUGGUUCCUAUGAUGAGGUUCUUUUUUCUUCUGUUAUUACUUAAUUUUUGAAUGAUGUAUGUCUAUCCUAAAAUCUAAUGUUUUUGACAUUUGCCUUUUAGAUUGAAGAUCCAACUAUUCUACCUCAGCCUAUUGAAAGUUUAGUUGGAAAAUCCUUUUGUUUUGGUAUUUCGCUAAGCACUGACAAUGUAAACAAUGGAAACACCACUUUUAAAGUGUUUGAGGUCUGGUCUGGAGAUAAAAUUCAGAAAAUUAAAUCUCAGACAGAGCCAUGUUCCUUGCUGGACACUUAUUCGUCAACUCUUUCUGGUGGUGAGGUUUCCCUGGUUGAUCCAAACAAAGAAAGUUCAUAUGAAGGUUUUUCAACCCCAUUCUCAAAGCGCAAAGAAGAAGAUGCUGAUCUAUUGGACAUGACAUCUACGUCUAAGAAACCUUGCACUCAGAAGAUCAAGAUGGAGAAUACAAAGACUGAUGAGUAGUUGAUGACCUAGAUGAUUUAUGUCGUCUUUUGAAAUUUGGGAGCUUGUAUUUUUAUCUAUUUUAGUGUUGCAUGCGUGAUUUUCAUUUCAUGGGGUUUGGAUGGUUUUUUUCCUAAAUUUUAAAAAUAAAAUUGUUUUUUAUAUAUUAGUCUACACCACAAUGUGCUUCAGUAAUCACUACAACUGCGGCUUACCAUCGGCAUAAGAAAAACUUAUCCUAAUUAUCAAACAUACUAAAUAUCUAACCAUACAACCUAGCAAUUAACCUAUAUAAGAAAAGAAAUAGUAUCAAACCUUUAUCAAAUCCGUAACCUAUUGUAAAUUCGUAGCCAUGAGAUUUUCGGAACAUACCUGAUAUUUUUUCUUCUAUAGUUGACUCAAUAUUCCCCGCACGGUUGUAAGUUUCUCCGUUAAGUGUCUUCAUAUUCAAUCAAACUGAAACAAAUAAAGAAACAAGAAAAUAUACCAAAUAUUUAGAUACUAAAAACAAAUAACAUUUUUCAGCGAUUGCAUAAUCAUCAUUAAUUCCUCACCAAUGAACGUAACCUAAAACUAAAAUCUUGAAUCGUGAGCCGCUAUCUUAACCAAAGCAUAAGUAUUCACAGACAAUUCAUACAUACUAUUCAAGCAGCAGAUUGAAAAGGUUCAUAGUUGUUAGUUUUCGUGUACUAAGCCUCAUUUCAAAGUAGAAACAGCCUUAUUACUCUUUCUAAUAGAUAUUUCUUUUCAUCCUCAUAGCCUGACCUAAUGAAGAGAAGAAAAAAAGAAAAUCCUGCAACUCAUGAAUUGUCAGUUCGCAGCCACCGUAGUUUACCGGUUAGAUCUGUUUCCAACAGAGUUUUCAAUGAUGUCACAAACAGGACUACAACACCAGUCAAUAAUCUUAAAAGAUCCAUUGGUAAGUCCUUUGUAACAUGUACAAGAUCCCUAUAAUAUAUGAACUAUACUUUACAGUGAAGAACAUACUUCUUCUUUUUUGUUCAAGAUAUGGGAAAGGAAAAUGGUCAAUCAUCACAAUUGGCAAAGAGAACUCGGUAUUCACAUCCAAACUCAUGUAAGAUGACAUUGAAAUUCGAGUAUAAUUUGUAUACUAAUAAAUUAUGUGUUUACCAUUGUGUGAGAAUUUUAAAUUAACUUCAUAUACUAGCAAAUCAAAUGGACAAACAUCAGCGAAGAGAUACAAGUCAUGAUACUGAUGUCUGCUCUCCCACAAGUGCGCCUUCUAUACCGGUUAUAUCUAUCUUUGAUAUAGUUUUCAAUGAUGUAUUGAACGGCCCUAGGAUCCCAUUCACACCAGUCACUAGCCUAAACCUUUCAGUUGGUCAGUUUUUUUAAAUAUGAAAUUCAGUUACUACUAAUUGAUACUUCAUGAUAUUUUUCUGCUCAUAAUCUAUUUUAUCUAUAGGUGACAUGGGAAAGGAAAAUUGUCAAUCAUCUGAAACGGCAAAGAGACAUACAUAUUCACAACCAAUUUCAAGUGCGUUGAGAAUACAUUACAUUUAUUCGUUAAACCAAGUGAUUUGUUAAUUAUCUCAAUUUCUUUGAUUCAUACUAUUUUUCAAUGACUGACACAUUGAUUCUAUAUUUUCUAGCAAACCAGAGUUGUAAAUCAGGAUUGACUACUGUAAGGCAUGCUGAUUCAAUAGAUUUUAGAAAGAGAAGCAGGACUGUUUUCAAUGACAAGGCAGAUUUCACCUUCGUAAAUUAUAAUCAUAGGCGUUUAUAUGUAUAGUACAUCCUACAUAUAAAGUUUCUUACCAUAUGAUUGGGUUGCUUUAAUUAAAAUAUGCAUAUUUUAGUAAGCUACAAGGAAAAGUGGACGUUGAAGAUUUUCCCCCAGCACAAACUGCCAUAGACGCAAUUAAGGACUCCAUGGAUCUUUACGCGGCUUACAUCAAAGCUGUCUUGCAACGUUAAUGAACAUACCGGUCAAAUCCAUUCCUCCAGGUUUGCUUUCAUACCUUCUCCGGUUCGCUAGAGAACAUCCUAUUUUUGAAUUUGAAUUUAAGCCAUUUCGUUUAGAUUCAAGGUUUUAUGUUGAAAUCCGUAUGAAUCUUAGUCAACACGGAUCCGUGCGGAUCGGUGUCAAUCAAGAUACGAAAAAUAGUAAUCUUCGUUCUCUGAAUUUGUUUUUUUUUUCCGUUUCUUGCGAGUGAAGGAAUUAUGUUUUGGUUUUCCUUGGCACAGUGUAAGGAAGUUUGUGUGUAUGUACAUGAUGGUGACAUCACCAAGUCCCAUAUUCUCAAUUUGCUUUUUAAUAUACCACUAGAUUUUGAUCCGCGCUUAUAGAUUAUAUCUGUUUUUCCAUUAUAUUUAUUAAAUUUUUUCUUAUGUUAAUCGACACUUACCAUAGAAGCAGGCCCGGCUCUUGACCAUGGUGACAGGGGCGGUUGCCCUGGGUCCAGAGAAAUUUUUAGUGCUAUUUUAUUAAUUUUAAGGGUCCAUUUCAAAUUGUUAAAUGAUUAAAUAUUUAAUAAAAUUAUAAUAAAGAGUCCAUAAUUAACU